This 406-nucleotide ribosomal RNA is filed under the name uncultured bacterium. RNAcentral's name for it is "partial 16S ribosomal RNA". It matches the Rfam family "Bacterial small subunit ribosomal RNA", at positions 30 to 526 of the family's 1533-position model. The record is from RNAcentral.
AUUGAACGCUGGCGGCAGGCUUAACACAUGCAAGUCGAACGAGUGGCGGACGGGUGAGUAAUGUCUGGGAAACUGCCCGAUGGAGCGGGAUAACUACUGGAAACGGUAGCUAAUACCGCAUACCAUCGGAUGUGCCCAGAUGGGAUUAGCUAGUAGGUGGGGUAAUGGCGCACCUCGGCGACGAUCCCUAGCUGGUCUGAGAGGAUGACCAGCCACAAUGGAACUGAGACACGGUCCAGACUCCUACGGGAGGCAGCAGUGGGGAAUAUUGCACAAUGGGCACAAGCCUGAUGCAGCCAUGCCGCGUGUAUGAAGAAGGCCUUCGGGUUGUAAAGUACUUUCAGCGAGGAGGCGUUACUCGCAGAAGAAGCACCGGCUAACUACGGGCCAGCAGCCGCGGUAAUUC